AACCUGCCCAAGAGAUCGGGAUAACACCUGGAAACAGAUGCUAAUACCGGAUAACAAUAGAUGAUGCCUAUCAACUGUUUAAAAGAUGGUUCUGCUAUCACUCUUGGAUGGACCUGCGGUGCAUUAGCUAGUUGGUAGGGUAACGGCCUACCAAGGCGAUGAUGCAUAGCCGAGUUGAGAGACUGAUCGGCCACAUUGGGACUGAGACACGGCCCAACUCCUACGGGAGGCAGCAGUC
RNAcentral lists this ribosomal RNA (238 nucleotides) under uncultured Lactobacillus sp. RNAcentral describes it as "partial 16S ribosomal RNA". It matches the Rfam family "Bacterial small subunit ribosomal RNA", at positions 123 to 355 of the family's 1533-position model. Lineage: Bacteria; Bacillati; Bacillota; Bacilli; Lactobacillales; Lactobacillaceae. The record is from RNAcentral.